RNAcentral lists this ribosomal RNA (533 nucleotides) under uncultured Pseudomonadota bacterium. Its description in RNAcentral is "bacterial SSU rRNA". It matches the Rfam family "Bacterial small subunit ribosomal RNA", at positions 97 to 663 of the family's 1533-position model. Lineage: Bacteria; Pseudomonadati; Pseudomonadota. The record is from RNAcentral.
GGCGGACGGGUGAGUAAUGCAUGGGAAUCUGCCCAUCAGUGGGGGACAACUCGGAGAAAUCCGAGCUAAUACCGCAUAUUCUCUACGGAGGAAAGGCUUCGGCCGCUGAUGGAUGAGCCCAUGUUAGAUUAGCUUGUUGGUAGAGUAAAGGCCUACCAAGGCGACGAUCUAUAGCUGGUCUGAGAGGACGAUCAGCCACACUGGGACUGAGACACGGCCCAGACUCCUACGGGAGGCAGCAGUGGGGAAUAUUGGACAAUGGGCGAAAGCCUGAUCCAGCAGUGCCGCGUGUGUGAAGAAGGCCUGCGGGUUGUAAAGCACUUUCAGUAGGGAGGAUAAUGACGUUACCUACAGAAGAAGCACCGGCUAACUCUGUGCCAGCAGCCGCGGUAAUACAGAGGGUGCGAGCGUUAAUCGGAAUUACUGGGCGUAAAGCGCGCGUAGGCGGUUUGUUAAGUCGGAUGUGAAAGCCCCGGGCUCAACCUGGGAACUGCAUUCGAUACUGGCAGGCUAGAGUAUGGUAGAGGGUAGUG